Molecule: long non-coding RNA, 373 nt
Organism: Lynx canadensis (Canada lynx)
Lineage: Eukaryota; Metazoa; Chordata; Mammalia; Carnivora; Felidae
Exons: 3
Source: RefSeq, a predicted model, not a curated record
CCUCUGGUGAAGAGAGCCACCUUACUGAGUUCUCAACCCCUAAUGGGGGGAGUAUCCAAUGACAAGUUGGUACCAGGAUUCAUGCCUAGUACAGAGUCCGGUGUGGGCAUGAACUCACAACCCUGAGGUCAAGACCUGAGCUGAGAUCAAGAGUCUGAUGCUUAACUGACUAAGCCACCAAGGAACCCCAUUAGUCAUGUAUUUUAAAAUAUUAUUUGCAUUUCAUCUAAUUAAAGUUGACAUGGAAGAAGUAACAAAUCUGAAUAGAUGAGAAACCAUGCAAGAAAUGUAAUAUUUUAAAGAACUACCUUCAAAAAUGAGUUCUAGACUCAGAAGAUUUUAUGGUUUUAACAAGGAGCGUAUCCAAUGAAGC